Molecule: long non-coding RNA, 1651 nt
Filed under: Chlamydomonas reinhardtii
Lineage: Eukaryota; Viridiplantae; Chlorophyta; Chlorophyceae; Chlamydomonadales; Chlamydomonadaceae
Description: long non-coding RNA (CREI_LNC000505)
Source: RNAcentral
UUGCAACUGCCAUGCUUGCCGCUGCGUUUGCCCUUUACCCGCCCUACAUCCAUUUGACAACGCCCCUGUCCUCGUGCCCACCCAAUCGCUGUCGAACGGGUCGCGCCGCCCCAACUCUCUGCAGGCGUUUGCCAAUGCCAGGAUGCCAUGUCACAAUCUCACACAUGCAUGAUGCCCUCCAAUACACGAGUCCGAACACUGUCCGAUACAACGGGUGCACUCGGGCAAGCCGCAGUGCCGCAGUAGCGCCCGGGGAGCUGAACGUCCGAGUGCGAGUGCACGUGGGGGCGCGCGGCCUCGGAACCGCCGGCGAGGCUGCGCGACUCAGCCGAGCCGUGCCUGCGUCAUGCAAAUCGUACUCGAAUACCAAGCUAACCAACUCCCCCUGCACCAUAAGCGUCUGAUGAUACAGCAAGGGUGGAGGUGCCAGCGCCGCGGCUGGUUUAGUCGCCGUCGGCCCCUGUGUGCCACAGCCCAGAGCGGCGGUGUGGGUGUGGCGACCAACCGCGGCAGCUUGCCGCUUUGCCGCCAUCGCACCGCGCGCGCUUACGCCAUCACCGCUACCUUGGCCUGCACCUCCGCCGUGUGCUGCUGCUGCUGUUGUUGCUGGUACUGGUGCUGCUGCUGCUGCUGUUGCUGCUGUUGCUGGUACUGGUGCUGGUGCUGCUGCUGCUGCGUGAAGUGCGCCUGCUGCUGGUGCUGGUACGUGUGCAGCUGUGUGCCGGCGGCGGCCUGCCGGAAGGCCACGGCGGCGGCCUGCAGCUCCUGCCGCAGCCGCGCCAGCUUCUCGGGGCUCAGCGAGGCGCUGAAGCGCGACUGCACGCAGCCGUCCCGCACCGCGUGGAAGAAGGGCACCUGCAAGGUGGCGGCGGCGAAGGCGGGGCGGGCGGCACGGGGUGAGCCACAGCACGCAGCGUUGAGCGGCACCGCCGAGCAGGCGCUACUACCCGGAUCGCACAGCCCUAACCCACUCUGCCGCAAACCCACAUCGCAAGGCGAACCCAAAAAAACACCCCUUGCGCGUCCCGGCUUCAUCACCCGCCUGCCCGCUGCCGCCCGCCCCCUGGGUCUCGCCCGCACCUUGGUGAUGCCGUGCGCCUCGAACAACGGGCGCAGCUGCUCGCGGCUGCCGUUGACCUUGAGGAACAGAACCUCCGGGUGGUCGGCAGCCAGCUUCUUCAGCUUGGGGUGCAGCGUGCGGCAGGCUGGAGGCGAGGAAAUUGAGGCGAGGAAAACAAGGGAAGGGAGAGGAGCGAGGGGAGGGGAGGGGAGAGGAAGGUGAGGCGUUGACCCACAUGCGUGCGAGCGUUGACCAGUACCCCGCAACGCUGGGUUACACUUCCAGUGCCGCGCCCUCGGGGCUAAGCAGCAGCUGCGGCAGGCGCGGCGGGGGGUCGCGACGACGUGUGGCGCAUAAUGCAUAACGCACCGUAGCAGUCGUCCUGGAAGAAGUUGAGCAGCACGGUGCGGCCCUCGGCGGCGGCGCGCUGCGUGAGCAGGUCCACGCAUGCGGGCGUGCGCACUACCACCAUGUUGGGCGGCAGGGAGCCCUCGUACCUGUUGGGUUUGGGACAUUUGGAGAGCGUAAAGGGUAUGUUUGCGGGGAUGAGGGGUUGGGUUUGGGGAGGGGGCGGGAGGCAGGCGAGCUCGG